ACCAGGUGCCAGGGAUGGCUGUUUAGGACAACAGAGACCAGAAUCUUCUGGUAAGAGAACAUUGGUACAUGAGGCGACAGUGGCAUCAGCUAUGGAAAUUUUCCUCGGUAAACACAUUUUGUUUUAAGUAAUUUCUGCAUCCGCUCCAAACUUAUCCUCGGUAAACACAUUUCGUUUAACUUUUAUCAUUUGCUACGGAACUUAUUCUCGGUAAUCACAUUUUGAUUAAGUAAUUUCUCCGGCCGCUCCGAUACUAAUAUCCUCGGUAAAACACAUUUAUUUAAUUGAUUUUGCAACCGCUAUGGAAAUUUUUCCUCGGUAAAUACAUUUUGAUAAGUAAUUUCUCCGACCGCUCCGAUACUUAUCCUCGGUAAAACACAAUUUAUUUAAUUGAUUUUGCAACCGCUACGGUAAUUUUCCUCUAAAUACAUUUUGUUUAAGUAAUUUCUCCGACCGCUCCGAUACUUAUCCUCAGUAAAAUACAAUUUAUUCAAUUGAUUUUUCAACCCCUACGGAAAUUUUCCUUGGUAAAUACAAUUUGUUUAAGUAAUUUGUCAUCAGCUUUUGAAUUUUUUCUUAGUAAACAAAUUUAAAGUUUUUUGGCGUCUGCUUCUGAAAAUUUUCUCGGAAAACACAUUAUUUUAUUAUAUAAAUUUUCAAAACUGCUGCAUAAAAUCUGUAUUAGAGAACAUUUUUGUAAUAAUAAUUUACUCAUCUGUUAUAAAAAUUUUGCUCAGAAAACAAUUGAUAGGGUAAGUUACUUAUUAUGAAAUGAAAUAAGUAGCCUGGGCUGGAAAGGAACAUGGUAAAGGCAGUCAUCAGUGCAGUAUUUUUGAUUGAGAUUGAUAUAGUACUGACUGACUCAUCAUAGGUUUCUGCUCAUUUAUGGGUAAAUGCUUGUUAUAACUUGAUGGAAAAAAUGAGUAGAGAGGUUAACAGUCUGGUUAUGAUAAGUGUCUGUGCAUGUUUGAAUGGUAACCUGUGUUGACCAAUCAUUUCUAUUUCACCUCAAUCAGAAUGAAUGUACUGUUGAUAAUGUCUUCACGAUGUGCUUGUCUGUACUGUAUGGCCUUUUUCUGACUGUAUAAUACAUUCAUUUUUCAUAUUAGAGUCAUUUGGGUGUUCAGUUUUUCAACAAUUCCUCAGUAAACAAAUUUUGUUUAAAGUAAUUUCAGCAUUUUGUAAAAAUAUUUUGUUAAAGUGAUUUCUGCAUUCUGUAUUAAACAUAUUUCGGAAGUCAUUUCGGCGUUCAGGCAGUUUUGAAUUUUCCUUCAUUAUAAACAGAUAAUAUUAAAGUAAUAUUUAAAUAAUUUUGAUAUUUAGUUUACACAUUUUACUCGGUAAACAGAUUUUGUUUAAGUAAAUUCAACUCGGUAAAAAGUCUUUUGUCAAAUAAUUUACAUGCUCAAUUUUCGAAAUUUUCAACAAUAAGCAUAUUUUAUUAAAGUAAACUCAACAUUUGGUUCUGAAAUCUUCCUAACUAAACAUUUCUUAAAGUAAUUUUGCAUUUGAUAGAGAAUUUUUCCUCAGUAAAUAUCUUUUGUUAGACUAAUUUUAAUAUUGGUUUACAUAUUUUCCUCAGGAAACAUUUUUUUUAAAAGAAAGUUUGGUUUUCAAACUUUCCUUCAUGAAAAUCUUUUGUUAAAGAAAUUUCUGCAUCAUUUUGUUAAAGUAAUUUUUCAUUUGCUACGGAAAUUUUCCUUGGUAAACACAUUUUGUUUAAGUAAUUUCUGCAUCCGCUCCGAAACUUAUCCUCGGUAAACACAUUUUGUUUAACUUUUAUCAUUUGCUACGGAACUUAUUCUCGGUAAUCACAUUUUGUUUAAGUAAUUUCUCCGACCGCUCCGAUACUUAUCCUCGGUAAAACACAUUUAUUUAAUUGAUUUUGCAACCGCUACGGAAAUUUUCCUCGGUAAAUACAUUUUGUUUAAGUAAUUUCUCACGGAAAUUUUCCUCGGUAAACACAUUUUGUUUAAGUAAUUUCUGCAUUCGCUCCAAAACUUAUCCUCGGUAAACACAUUUCGUUUAACUUUUAUCAUUUGCUACGGAACUUAUUCUCGGUAAUCACAUUUUGUUUAAGUAAUUUCUCCGACCGCUCCGAUACUUAUCCUCGGUAAAACACAUUUAUUUAAUUGAUUUUGCAACCGCUACGGAAAUUUUCCUCGGUAAAUACAUUUUGUUUAAGUAAUUUCUCCGACCCUCGGAUACUUAGUUGUCAGAUGUCCCCAAGCCUUCACAGUCGGAUGACUCAGAUAGAUAUUCCUGGAGAAAAAGCAACAAUUGUGGUAUACUUGGAGGUUAAAUGGUAACCAGGUGCAAGGAUGGCUGUUGAGAUCAAUUCCUGUGGACAACAGAGACCAGAUGUCCCCAAACCCCAUGUGGAACGGAUUGCUGUGAAUCUUCAUGGCCGGAUGACGCAGAUGUUCUUGGAUAAAAGCUACAAUUGUGGAAAACUUGCAGGUUGAAUCCUGUUCUAGAGGUAACCAGGUGCCAGGGAUGGCUGUUUAGGACAACAGAGACCAGAAUCUUCUGGUAAGAGAACAUUGGUACAUGAGGCGACAGUGGCAUCAGCUACGGAAAUUUUCCUCGGUAAACACAUUUUGUUUAAGUAAUUUCUGCAUCCGCUCCGAAACUUAUCCUCGGUAAACACAUUUCGUUUAACUUUUAUCAUUUGCUACGGAACUUAUUCUCGGUAAUCACAUUUUGUUUAAGUAAUUUCUCCGACCGCUCCGAUACUUAUCCUCGGUAAAACACAUUUAUUUAAUUGAUUUUGCAACCGCUACGAAAAUUUUCCUCGGUAAAUACAUUUUGUUUAAGUAAUUUCUCCGACCCUCGGAUACUUAGAUGUCAGAUGUCCCCAAGCCCCACGUGAAACUGAUUGCUGUGUAUCCUUCACAGUCGGAUGACUCAGAUAGAUAUUCCUGGAGAAAAAGCAACAAUUGUGGUAUACUUGGAGGUUAAAUGGUAACCAGGUGCAAGGAUGGCUGUUGAGAUCAAUUCCUGUGGACAACAGAGACCAGAUGUCCCCAAACUCCAUGUGGAACGGAUUGCUGUGAAUCUUCAUGGCCGGAUGACGCAGAUGUUCUUGGAUAAAAGCUACAAUUGUGGAAAACUUGCAGGUUGAAUCCUGUUCUAGAGGUAACAAGGUGCCAGGGAUGGCUGUUUAGGACAACAGAGACCAGAAUCUUCUGGUAAGAGAACAUUGGUACAUGAGGCGACAGUGGCAUCAGCUACGGAAAUUUUCCUCGGUAAACACAUUUUGUUUAAGUAAUUUCUGCAUCCGCUCCGAAACUUAUCCUCGGUAAACACAUUUUGUUUAACUUUAUCAUUUGCUACGGAACUUAUUCUCGGUAAUCACAUUUUGUUUAAGUAAUUUCUCCGACCGCUCCGAUACUUAUCCUCGGUAAAACACAUUUAUUUAAUUGAUUUUGCAACCGCUACGGAAAUUUUCCUCGGUAAAUACAUUUUGUUUAAGUAAUUUCUCCGACCCUCGGAUACUUAGAUGUCAGAUGUCCCCAAGCCCCACGUGAAACUGAUUGCUGUGUAUCCUUCACAGUCGGAUGACUCAGAUAGAUAUUCCUGGAGAAAAAGCGACAAUUGUGGUAUACUUGGAGGUUAAAUGGUAACCAGGUGCAGGGAUGGCUGUUGAGAUCUUUGAACUUUGUCCGGGACAUAGCUGUAAAACUAAAAGAGAUAUCAAGAUGACUAAUUGUUGGUUGAUAGAUCUCAUUGAGUAGAAAUGCAGUGCAAAAGAACCAUAACUCUGUUAAGCCUCAUUUUUGAAUUAUCUCCCCUUUUAGAAAAAUCUUGUCCAGGAUAUAGCUCUAAAACUAUAAGAGAUAUCAACAUGAGACUUUGUAGGUAGAUAUCUCAAUGGGUAGAUGUGCAUUGCACAAGAAUCAUAACUCUGCCUUUUCCUAAUUCUGGAGUUAUUGCCCUUUGUUUAUUUUUACUUUUUGAAGUUGUCCGGGACAUAACUUGGAAACCAUCAGAGAUAUAAAAAAGAAACUUUGUAGGUUGAUAGAUUACAUUGAUUAGAAGUGCAGUGCAAAGAACAGUAACUCUGCCUUGCCUAAUUUUGGAAUUAUUGCACUUUGAACUUUUUCCAGGGACCUAACUCUGAAACUACAAGAGGUGUACUUUCCUGUGUCCAAAACCUAUUCGGGGAGCAUCAUGCACCCGGCUCAAACCGGGCUCUUGUGAUUUUAGUAAUUACUGCAUUUGCUACGAAACUUAUUCCUGGUUAUCACAUUUUGUUUAAGUUAUUUCUGCUUUCGCUACGAAACUCAUCCUUGGUUAACACAUUUUGUUUCAGUAAUUUCUGCGUCCACUAUAGAUUUCAUCCUCGGUAAACACAUUUGGUUUCAGUACUUUCUUAAUUCACUAUGGAACGUAUUCUCAAAAAACACAUUUUGUUUAAGUAAUUUCUGCAUUUGCUAUGGAAUUUAUCAUAGGUAAACACAUUUUGUUUAAGAAAUUUCUCUGUCUGCUCCGGAACACAUUUUGUUUAAGUACUUCCUGCGUCCGCUAUGGAAGUUAUACAUGGUAAAAACAUUUUUGUGUAAGUACUUUCUGCCUACGCUAAGGAACUUACCCUCCGUUUUUGCGUCCGUGAUGGAACUUAUCACGGUAACCAUUUUGUUUAAGUACUUAUACUUAAGUAUAAGGAGUAAGUAAAAUAAUGUCCAGAAUCUUUAACAUACAGAAGUCAUAAUACAUGGUUAUAUUAUUGGUCAAAUGGUAAUAUGCAAUUGGAUGUCUAGAAAAUGGGAAUUUUUUCUAAUUUGGGAGAUGUUGAAGAUCUGUUAGGGAAGAAUAAUGUGUCUAAAUGGUAUUUAUGGAGGAAAUGGAAAAACAACAGGUAUUAUUUAUUUUCUUGGUUUUGUCUUGUUUCUUUACAGUAAUUUAAAAUAUCUUUACUUAUUUGUUAAAUUAAUUUUUUUUCUUAAAAUGUUUCAAAUUGGUAAAUUAAUUUUUAGGAUGCAUCCCACAACUGUUGAUCGAGGCUCACUGGCGACCCCAUUGAAGGAUUCCGGUGCUGAUAUAUCCGCAAAAUGGGAAUUCGUUUUGGAAGGAUUUCUCUUGAGACACUGCGCCGGGAGUGUUGAUAGAUUAUGGUUUUUUCAGAGUCAAGAAAGAUGGAAAGGGGAUUCUUUUUUUUUUUUCAUUAGAUCAACCGAGUGUCUGCCAUCCAGAAGUUUUUUCCAGAUUUAUUUCCCUUUGUUUCUUUGGUAGAAUAGCUGGAAGCUAGGCAAAACUUGCAGCUAGCAGGCGUUUUUCUUUAGGUAUCAUGCCCUGAUAUAUCCCUGGUCUGUUAAUCAAGACUACUAUCGAUGUAAUCCGAGGAGUCUGGCAACUUUAUAUCCGCAAGGAGGAAUCGUGUGGGAGUGAUUGUCUUCAAUUCUGAGUCCAGCAGCAUUGUAGUAUGACAUUUGUUCCUGAGUUAAGAGAGAUGGAAAUCAGUGGGUCAUAGUAUGGAAGUGGCCUGAGAAGAACAACCUGCAUGGACCGAUACUGGAUUAUAGCUUUUCAUUGAGCAGAUAUUUGUUUAGAAAUAUAAUAUAACCUGUCAAUAUCUUUAACUUGAUUUUUGUUUUUGCUGCUUUGAAAUUUUUGUUUCAGAAUUAAUACAACACUGGCGUACACAGUAUGAAGACCUGAGUGUCAACCAUUAAACAGUAAUUGAAAGCAGCUUAAUCAGGUUUGAGAGAGUUGGUAUUUAAACUGUGUAAGCCUCAAAUUACCAGCCUGUCUCGGAGGGUGUCGACAAUACAACCUACAUUAAAGACCAGAACCUUCAUAAAUCUUCAUUUCUUUAUUUUCUGAUCAAGGGAAGGAAGUCGCAUAUUUAAUAUCUAGUGUGAAUUUGACUGUUGUGUGGGGAGACAAAAAUGAAAGGAAGACUCAAGUUUCACACCUAGUGGAUUAAUAAUUACAAAUGUGAACAGACCAUAAUAUUUGCCUUAAUUGAAUGCACCAAUUAUGACAUUAUAGUGUUCAUUUAUAUUUGUUGAAAAAUGGAUAACAAUACAUGUGCUAGAGAGUGAUAUUCUUUUGUUCUGGUACAAUGUGAUUAAUUGAUAAUGUUCAAUAGUGUUAUUUAGAAAGAUAACUCUAAAAAUAUUAUUUUGAAAAUAAAGUACUUGUUACCUCCCACUCACACUCAGGUGCUCACUUUUUUGUCAAACUAAUUAAAGGCUCUAUUACAGUUAUAUGUCAGUGAAAAAUGAACAAAUUUAUGUAAAGUAUAACAUUAAUUGUUACUGUUAUUGUAGAUGAAAGACAUUUAUUAAAUACAAUUAAUUAAUUUUUUUAGAUGAAUUAAUUAUGUGCAUUAAUUUUUUUUAAACAUUUUCUAUUAUAAUUGUUGACAGUCAUUUGGAAGUAACAAAAGUUAAUUUCUUUUUAGCUCACCAGAGCACAACAAUGCUCUGGUGAGCUAUUGUCAUAACUCAUCGUCUGGUGUCUGUCCCUCCAAACUUCUUUUUGUACAACAUCUGAACCACCAGGGAAAUAAUUUCAAAACUGCCUAGGAAUGAUCCUUAGGUGAUCUCCUUUUAAAGUUGUUCAUUCUAUGCAGAACUCUUGUUGCCAUGGAAACUGAAAAAACUCUUUAAAAAAUCAUCUCCUGAAACUAUAAAGGCUAGAUCUUGGAUAAUUGGCAUGAAACAUAUUGUAGUGGGCAUCUACCAAGCUUAUCAAAAUAAUUGCCCUAGGGUCAAAAUUGGCCCCGCCCAAAUUGGGUCAUAGGUUUUUCUUGCAUGUAGAUUCUUUAAAAAAAUCAUCUAUGCCACAAAGGUUAAAACUAAGAAACUUGGCAUCAGACAUCCUGUAGUGGACCUCUACCAAGCUUGGCCACACUCAAGGAGGUCAUUGGUUUUCUUUUUAUCUAUAUAGUAAAUUCCCUCUGAAGUCACAAUGGCUACAGCUUAGAUAAUUAGCAUGAAUCAUCAUGAAGUGGACUGCGGCCAAGCUGGUUCAAAUAAUAGCCUUUGGGCCAAAAUUGGCCCCGCUCAAGAGGAUCAUGGGUUUUCUAUAUAGUAAAUUCCCGCUGAAGUCACAGUGGCUAGAGCUUAGAUAAUUGGCAUGAAUCAUCAUGAAAAGGACCUCUACCAAGCUUUUUCAAAUAAUACCCACCCUUGGUUCAAAAUUUUCUCCAUGGUUUUACCUUAUAAAGGAAAAGCUUUGAAAAUCAUCUCCUCUUAAAAUAUAAAGGCAAGACUCUUAAAAUAUUUGGCAAAACAAAGGAAUGUUCAGGUAACUGAAUCUUGUCCUAAAUAUAGUCCAUAUCCCCUGGUGAGCGAUUAAGGGCCAUCACAGCCCUCUUGUUAUUUUUUGAAUUAUUGAUUAAAUUGUAUUUGUUAGCUAAAUUGUAUUUAGAAUAGAGGGGCUUUCCUCCUUACCCAAGCAUCAGUACAACUCUGGUUAAAAUUUUAUGUGCAACUUUUUGUAUAACCAACAGCCCAGAAUUAUUGCAUGCAUUUUGACUGAAUUAUGGCCCUUCAUGUGUUUUAAUCUUCCUUAUAAUUUAUAAUUUUCACAUCUAUAUGGUCAUAAAUAAAGGUCACUGACCAAAUUCCAUAACUACAGUAGGAUACUGAUUUCCCUGUAUGUACUUUAAGUAUUCCUUGUAAAGAGAUAAUUUUUCACAACUAUUGCAGGUAUAUACAUAUGUAUUCACUAGAAACGGGGUUAUUAUAUAUAAAAUUCUGUAGCUGUCCAAGAACCAUAACUGUUGCAUGAUGUAAGCUUUUGUGAGCUUCAAAUUAAUUCCCAAUUUAGGUUUUGUAAGAUAUGAAUAAAAAUAUUGUAUUUUCACACAAUUUAUUUUUGGUGAUCAUGAUCACAGUAAAUCUUGUAGCUUCUUAUAAUUUCUUUGUGUUUUUUCUGUAUACUGUAUUUGUUUUUUUUACGGCCAGAGGCCGUAAAAUUUACAGGGAAGAACUGAAUAUAUGUAAAAAUUUCAUUGGUCAUUUUAAAAUUACAAUCUGAAAUCGCGGAAUCUGAUUGGUCAUUGUAAAAUUAGUACAAUAACAUAAAGGAUUUUUCUGACAUGUUAUACGCAUCUAAUUUUUUAAUUAAUCUUAAUGAGUUCUGGAUACGAUCUAUCUCAUUCAUGAGUUUUAGAUUUCAGACACUUAAGUUUUGUUUAACCAUGCCUUCUCAUACUAGUGAUAAGUUUUUAUAACCAUACAUCCUCCUACAGAUUAUUUUACGCUGCUUUAAUGAGUUAUAAAUUUUGUCAAAAAUUAACGAUCGAAACUACCUCUAACAAUUACGUCAAAUCAUGCGCAAGAAAAUAGCGAAAAGCACACAACAAAAUUUAAUGAACUUAUCCGGUAUUAUCAGUUAUGUAUGUGACAUUGAUACAAUUCAUGUUUUUUUAAAUAUUAAUUCAUGACAAGUAUAUAUAUACCUGAAUAGUUUUUUUUGUUAUAAAUGUUAAAGUAUUUUUAGAUUAAAAAGCUUAAUUUCGGUUCCUUAAAUUUUUUCAGAUUUUAGCUUUCUUUCGUUAUUUCCAAAGGUGUUGCAAGUCCGUUGAUUUGUAUAUUUCGUAUCAACAAAACGUUGUCAUUUUUAAAUUUUCUAUUAAAAUUUCAAUUUGAAUUACAUUACUUAAACGAUUUUUCUUUGAGUUAAAAUGACAUUCAAAAAAAUACAAAUAAAGGAAUCAAUCACAUAGCUAUAAAAAUGAACUAAAACAAAAAAAUGGAAUACGAAAUAAAUUUUGUUUGUGGUUCUUAUUUACUUGAUUUUAUAGGAUUUACUUCAGACUUAACAUUUUGUUUCUAUUUGAAAUACUUCGACUGUGUCAUAUUAUGCGCAGGAUUUUAAUAUUUUUAUAAAAUGAAGAAUGUGAUGAUUAAAAAAAAUAUUUUUUUAUUUUUUACUUCAUUUUCCCGAAAGUUUA
This is a long non-coding RNA of Ruditapes philippinarum (Manila clam), 8911 nucleotides long. RefSeq lists it as uncharacterized. The transcript is spliced from 4 exons. The record is from RefSeq and is a predicted model, not a curated record. NCBI's taxonomy places the organism in Eukaryota, Metazoa, Mollusca, Bivalvia, Venerida, Veneridae.